Amphiprion ocellaris (clown anemonefish) is the source of this 1337-nucleotide long non-coding RNA. Lineage: Eukaryota; Metazoa; Chordata; Actinopteri; Pomacentridae. The record is from Ensembl.
CAGACCUGUGUGGAAGUCUGUUUGUGUGAUGGAGAGCAAAGACGUCUGUUUUCAGAAUGGAAUUUCUCUUUGCUCCUUGCCGGUGUUGGAACAAAGUGGAAUAACUGGGGCAGUUAUUUUGAGAGGCCUUUUAACUAUGGAAAACGUUUUGCACUGAGCUCUGCCUCAGUUUCUCACACAUCUGUAUGCAGUUUUGGGAAAUAUUAUUGUUUUAUGUCCAUAUUCUGUCUAGUGAGAGGGCAUGCCUGCAUAAAAAAAGCUUUUGGAUACAUGGCUCCUCCUCCGUGGUGCUGAGCGUCUCUGUGGCCACAUGAGCGGAGUCUGGGAGCAGCAGCGGCUCUGGGAUUUACUACCGGGACUGAGGGAGCAUCUGGAUUAACACCACACACCAGAUUUCUUAUUUCUCUUUUUGUUUUGUUUUUUAUUAUUCUUUUUUUGAAUUGUUGAAGCUUUUUCUUCUAUUUCUGGGCUGAAGAAACAACCUGCAGUCAUGUCUCGGGGUCCGGAUGAUGUGAGCAAGCUGACAGAAAGUACCUACAAGCCUCAGAUCACGAAGCCCCGCCCACACCUCCGACUGCGGCUCAGUGGGUGAUGCUAGGAGAAGAAGCAGACAUGGCGGGCUCGCUCCAAUCAGACCAACUCGAGAGGGCGGUUAUGGCCGGUGUACGGGCUGCACUUCAGUCCACACCACAAACGGUUUCCACACCACAGAUACCUCUGGCCGGGCCCUCACGUACUUCAAGCUUUGCUGCGACCACCACUUCACUAAGAUCGGUCUGCGAGAACUUUGACCAAAGAAGAAAUCAUAGGAAUAGUAUGGGCACAUAGUGAGAGGGUGGUCACAACAGCCUACAGACCAAUCUACAUGAGCCGAGGGAAUGUGUGGACAACUGCCCUCCGACAGUUUAGCAGGCGUAGAUUCGCUGACAGCACAGACAUGCUGUAUGUCACUUUUGCCAGCGAUGAAGACACCAAUGAGGAUGCAGAAGACCUUGGAGGCCCCAGACGAGAAUUCUUCCAUCUACUUGGAAAAGCUGUCUUUAAAGACAGUGGAGCAUUUGAAGACCAAAGAACUACAGACUCUUCACAACCUGCUCAAACUCUUGGUACAGGACCUCACCACACGGGUCAAGAAGGUUUCCAUCUCAUUUCUACUCUGAAGCUCACCUUCUCCUGCUCAAACUGCUGACAAAUGUUUCUGCUGCUCUAAAGUCUGGUCUCCAGAACUUCCUAAAAACUCUCAAAGUCUCUUCUGCUGCAGGUUGCUUUGUAGAACUGUUCCAGAAAACCUCACUAAACCACAUGGAGGGGCCUCAAGAUAGUCGUACAAAUGAAAC